GUUUGCGUGGCCUAGUAGGUAGCGUAUCUGGCUCGCAACCGGAGGGUUGUGGGUUCGAAUCCUGCCUCCACCU
RNAcentral lists this transfer RNA (73 nucleotides) under Ixodes scapularis (black-legged tick). It matches the Rfam family "tRNA". From Rfam's summary of the family: Transfer RNA (tRNA) molecules are approximately 80 nucleotides in length. Their secondary structure includes four short double-helical elements and three loops (D, anti-codon, and T loops). Lineage: Eukaryota; Metazoa; Arthropoda; Arachnida; Ixodida; Ixodidae. The record is from Rfam by way of RNAcentral.